This 113-nucleotide ribosomal RNA is filed under the name Carollia castanea. RNAcentral describes it as "partial 16S ribosomal RNA". Lineage: Eukaryota; Metazoa; Chordata; Mammalia; Chiroptera; Phyllostomidae. The record is from RNAcentral.
GAAAGGACAAGAGAGACAAGGCCUCCUUAGUACUAAGGCGCCUUCUAGCUCAACAGAUGACUUAGAUCUCAAUCUGGCAUGCAAUAAUCACANCUACCCCUAGACCAGGGCUA